This 253-nucleotide ribosomal RNA is filed under the name uncultured bacterium. Its description in RNAcentral is "partial 16S ribosomal RNA". It matches the Rfam family "Bacterial small subunit ribosomal RNA", at positions 524 to 776 of the family's 1533-position model. The record is from RNAcentral.
UACGUAGGGAGCAAGCGUUGUCCGGAUUUACUGGGUGUAAAGGGUGCGUAGGCGGCUUUGCAAGUCAGAAGUGAAAUCCAUGGGCUUAACCCAUGAACUGCUUUUGAAACUGUAAGGCUUGAGUGAAGUAGAGGUAGGCGGAAUUCCCGGUGUAGCGGUGAAAUGCGCAGAGAUCGGGAGGAACACCAGUGGCGAAGGCGGCCUACUGGGCUUUAACUGACGCUGAAGCACGAAAGCGUGGGUAGCAAACAGG